Molecule: long non-coding RNA, 881 nt
Filed under: Anas platyrhynchos platyrhynchos (common mallard)
Lineage: Eukaryota; Metazoa; Chordata; Aves; Anseriformes; Anatidae
Description: lncRNA (ENSAPLG00000028454.1)
Source: RNAcentral
GGGGGAUGUGAACAUGAAUAAUCACAUCACAAUAACUCAAGGUGUAACUGACCACAGCUGUUGCAAUGACACUGACUUUACCAAUACAAAGGGGAGCAGAGGGGAACCUUUGUUUCAGGUGAACAGCUAUGAACAAAUGAAUGGAUCAGCUACAGGUGUAAAUGUUUCUCCUUGAGGUGGUUAGGAGAAUAUGAAUGUCUCCCUGAGUAUAGGGGCAGUAAAUAUGUGGCUCAGCCCAACAAACAGUAUAAAAACUAAAUGAAAAAAAAGCAUUCUGUGUAGGGCAGUGUAACAGCAGGCUUCAGUUCUAGGGAUGUAUUGUUGAUGAUUGGAAUGACUGGCAUCAUGAUGAAGGUUGUCAAGUAUUUUAUACCAGGUCCAUGUGAGGGAGCACUGACUAAGACCAUUACAUGCUCUUCUCUGGUUUCUGCUAUCUUUCUUCAGCCCAAAGGACUAUUAAAAUUAUCCAUUAGUGAAACAGCAAUAUCCUCUGUGAUCUACUACAUAUCAGAAGAAAUGGGUGGCUGUGAUUAUAGUAGAAACAUUACAUGAAAAAAAUGCCAAAAAUAUGUUAAUGUGCUAAUUCUGAAUUAUAUUCCAGAAUUCUUUGAAGAUAAAUGUAUAUAUAUAUAUUUUUUUUUGUGUGUGUAAGACUUUUGUCUAGACUAUAAAAAGAGGCAUUAAAAAGUUGUAAGUAUAUUUUAAUUGAGAGCUGUUUUUAAAAGUGUUAGCAUCUAAAUACUGAAACCUUCAAAAGCAAUUUCAGUGCCUACCAAAACAGAUUCUAAUGUUUAUAUUGAUUGUAUUGGGAUGAGAGGGGAUGCUUGCAAAAGGAGAUUUAAUAGAUCUAAGAACAAUAAAGUGAAGUUUCAACAUGAACA